GACGAACGCUGGCGGCGUGCUUAACACAUGCAAGUCGAACGGUGAAGCUCCAGCUUGCUGGAGUGGAUCAGUGGCGAACGGGUGAGUAACACGUGAGCAACCUGCCCCUGACUCUGGAAUAAGCGCUGGAAACGGCGUCUAAUACUGGAUACGAGAAGGGCCCGCAUGGGCACUUUCUGGAAAGUUUUUCGGUUGGGGAUGGGCUCGCGGCCUAUCAGCUUGUUGGUGAGGUAAUGGCUCACCAAGGCGACGACGGGUAGCCGGCCUGAGAGGGCGACCGGCCACACGGGGACUGAGACACGGCCCAGACUCCUACGGGAGGCAGCAGUGGGGAAUAUUGCCCAAUGGGCGAAAGCCUGAUGCAGCGACGCCGCGUGAGGGAUGACGGCCUUCGGGUUGUAAACCUCUUUCAGCAGGGAAGAAGCGAAAGUGACGGUACCUGCAGAAGAAGCACCGGCUAACUACGUG
This 468-nucleotide ribosomal RNA is filed under the name uncultured bacterium. Its description in RNAcentral is "partial 16S ribosomal RNA". It matches the Rfam family "Bacterial small subunit ribosomal RNA", at positions 28 to 507 of the family's 1533-position model. The record is from RNAcentral.